AUUGAACGCUGGCGGCAGGCUUAACACAUGCAAGUCGAGCGGGGUGAUGGUGCUUGCACUAUCACUUAGCGGCGGACGGGUGAGUAAUGCUUAGGAAUCUGCCUAUUAGUGGGGGACAACAUCUCGAAAGGGAUGCUAAUACCGCAUACGUCCCACGGGAGAAAGCAGGGGAUCACUUGUGACCUUGCGCUAAUAGAUGAGCCUAAGUCGGAUUGGCUAGUUGGUGGGGUAAAGGCCUACCAAGGCGACGAUCUGUAGCGGGUCUGAGAGGAUGAUCCGCCACGCUGGGACUGAGACACGGCCCAGACUCCGACGGGAGGCAGCAGUGGGGAAUAUUGGACGAUGGGGGGAACCCUGAUCCAGCCAUGCCGCGUGUGUGAAGAAGGCCUUAUGGUUGUAAAGCACUUUAAGCGAGGAGGAGGCUCUUUUGGUUAAUACCCAAGAUGAGUGGACGUUACUCGCAGAAUAAGCACCGGCUAACUCUGUGCCAGCCGCCGCAGUAA
This 503-nucleotide ribosomal RNA is filed under the name uncultured bacterium. RNAcentral describes it as "partial 16S ribosomal RNA". It matches the Rfam family "Bacterial small subunit ribosomal RNA", at positions 30 to 523 of the family's 1533-position model. The record is from RNAcentral.